AAAUUGAAGAGUUUGUUCAUGGCUCAGAUUGAACGCAGGCGGCAGGCCUAACACAUGCAAGUCGAGCGGUAGCACAGAGAGCUUGCUCUUGGGGGAGGGGCGGCGGACGGGUGAGUAAUGACUGGGAAACGGCCUGAUGACGGGG
RNAcentral lists this ribosomal RNA (145 nucleotides) under Klebsiella pneumoniae. Its description in RNAcentral is "partial 16S ribosomal RNA". It matches the Rfam family "Bacterial small subunit ribosomal RNA", at positions 1 to 141 of the family's 1533-position model. Lineage: Bacteria; Pseudomonadati; Pseudomonadota; Gammaproteobacteria; Enterobacterales; Enterobacteriaceae. The record is from RNAcentral.